UGGCGGACGGGUGAGUAAUGUCUGGGAAACUGCCCGAUGGAGGGGGAUAACUACUGGAAACGGUAGCUAAUACCGCAUAACGUCGCAAGACCAAAGAGGGGGACCUUCGGGCCUCUUGCCAUCGGAUGUGCCCAGAUGGGAUUAGCUAGUAGGUGGGGUAACGGCUCACCUAGGCGACGGUCCCUAGCUGGUCUGAGAGGAUGACCAGCCACACUGGAACUGAGACACGGUCCAG
This 235-nucleotide ribosomal RNA is filed under the name uncultured bacterium. RNAcentral's name for it is "partial 16S ribosomal RNA". It matches the Rfam family "Bacterial small subunit ribosomal RNA", at positions 96 to 334 of the family's 1533-position model. The record is from RNAcentral.